CUUAAACUGAAGAAGCUUCAACCAACCAGCUGGAAUCUAAUCCUCAGCUCUUCUAUUCCAUUUAAGGAACGCCAUGAAGCUGUUGUACGGCGCACAAUGGAAAGGAGCCAGAAGCCAAAACAGAAGCAUAACCGUUGGUCGUGGGGAGGCUCUCUCCAUGGGAGCCCUAGCAUCCACAGUGCAGCUCGCCGUCUGCAGCUCAGCCCAUGGGAGAGCAGCGUUGUUAACAGACUCCUGACGCCCACACAUUCGUUCCUGGCCAGAAGUAAAAGCACAGCUGCCUUGUCUGGAGAAGCAGUUAUCCCCAUUUGUCCUCGUUCAGCAUCUUGCAGCCCCAUCAUCAUACCCUACAAAGCUGCACACUCUAGAAAUUCGAUGGAUCGACCAAAACUCUUUGUAACACCACCUGAGGGCUCUUCUCGCAGGAGGACCAUUCAUGGCAUAGCGGUGAGUAGCUGUUGGGAGCAGCUGGGCAAGUCUGGGAGCCAGUGCUGUUCCUGUGCAGACUGGACACAACCCUGAGGCAUGGUGUGGGCCUAAGAGGGGGAGACCGCGACAUCCACCAUCCCAUCUCUCCCAUUGAUCAUGAAUCUGGCUGGCUGGGCAGCAGUGUCCCCUUACUUCCUCUUCACUUGGGGAUUUUGCUCUCCCUAAACAUUUGAAUUUGAAGACAAAAGCUGUUCUUUGUUCAAGCAUAUAUGAGUGGAUGCCCUACCCUGCUGGAGCAUCCAUACACAUAAGUGCAAUGCCAGAAUACUUUCAUUUUUGAAAGUAGGAAAACCAAAUGGCCUUUGAAGGGGAAGUGGGCUUGGACCGCUGCCUUGGCAUUUUAUUCCAACCAUAUCCAGAAGCUGGCUGAACUCUAAAUGUGAUUCACUCAAAAGCAAGAUAAAGAAUUUUUAUCCUGCUUGACUAAUCCCUGUCAAGG
Molecule: long non-coding RNA, 928 nt
Filed under: Rhinopithecus bieti (black snub-nosed monkey)
Lineage: Eukaryota; Metazoa; Chordata; Mammalia; Primates; Cercopithecidae
Description: lncRNA (ENSRBIG00000045976.1)
Source: RNAcentral